UAAUUUGAAAAACCAAACACACUCACUAUUUUAAAAAAUUUAAAGUAGAAAGUCUCUUACAACUUAUUUUUAUAUCUCAACUCUCUAAAAUAGGAUACUUACAUUAAGAGAGUAUCUUGAAAAUGCUAUUAACAGCCCUACAUACACACACAGGCCCAAAAUAAUCUACAGCAAGAAAUCAACAGAAUACUUGUAUUAAACACUAUUAUCCAAACUGUCAAUGAGAAUCAAAUUAAAAUGGAAGGGGUACCAAAGUGGCUAAAUCCCACAGAAAUUCAGCUCAAAACUCUGCACAGAAUCCAAACAGAGACACAGAAUUGAAGAGUAGAGCUUCGAGCCUACUUGAGCUCAACAAUCCAACCCAUUUUAUCCUCAGCAAGUCCCAUUUGUAGGCUGGUGAGUGAGGAAUAUAGUUGCUGGGACACAACUCCAACCCCUUCGCUUCNCA
RNAcentral lists this long non-coding RNA (448 nucleotides) under Olea europaea subsp. europaea. The record is from RNAcentral. Lineage: Eukaryota; Viridiplantae; Streptophyta; Magnoliopsida; Lamiales; Oleaceae.